Molecule: unclassified non-coding RNA, 377 nt
Filed under: plant metagenome
Description: partial contains 5.8S ribosomal RNA, internal transcribed spacer 2, and large subunit ribosomal RNA
Rfam family: 5.8S ribosomal RNA (bases 1-105)
Source: RNAcentral
GAAAUGCGAUAAGUAAUGUGAAUUGCAGAAUUCAGUGAAUCAUCGAAUCUUUGAACGCACCUUGCGCUCCUUGGUAUUCCUUGGAGCAUGCCUGUUUGAGUAUCAUGAAAUCUUCAAAGUAAAUCUUUUGUUAACUCAAUUGGUUUCUACUUUGGUAUUGGAGGUCUUUGCAGCUUCACACCUGCUCCUCUUUGUUCAUUAGCUGGAUCUCAGUGUUAUGCUUGGUUCCACUCGGCGUGAUAAGUUAUCUAUCGCUGAGGACACUGUAAAAGGUGGCCAAGGUAAAUGCAGAUGAACCGCUUCUAAUAGUCCAUUGACUUGGACAAUACUUUUAUGAUCUGAUCUCAAAUCAGGUAGGACUACCCGCUGACUUAAGC